RNAcentral lists this ribosomal RNA (711 nucleotides) under uncultured Candidatus Pelagibacter sp. RNAcentral's name for it is "bacterial SSU rRNA". It matches the Rfam family "Bacterial small subunit ribosomal RNA", at positions 61 to 818 of the family's 1533-position model. Lineage: Bacteria; Pseudomonadati; Pseudomonadota; Alphaproteobacteria; Candidatus Pelagibacterales; Candidatus Pelagibacteraceae. The record is from RNAcentral.
GUCGAACGAGAUCUUCGGAUCUAGUGGCAGACGGGUGAGUAACGCGUGGGAACCUGCCCUUUAGUAGAGAACAACUUGAGGAAACUUGAGCUAAUACUUUAUACGCCCUUCGGGGGAAAGUUUUAACGCCAAAAGAUGAGCCUGCACUUGAUUAGCUAGUUGGUAAGGUAAUGGCUUACCAAGGCUACGAUCAAUAGCUGAUCUGAGAGGAUGAUCAGCCACAUUGGGACUGAGACACGGCCCAAACUCCUACGGGAGGCAGCAGUGGGGAGUCUUGCACAAUGGGGGAAACCCUGAUGCAGCGAUGCCGCGUGAGUGAAGAAGGCCUUUGGGUUGUAAAGCUCUUUCGUCGGGGAAGAAAAUGACUGUACCCGAAUAAGAAGGUCCGGCUAACUUCGUGCCAGCAGCCGCGGUAAUACGAAGGGACCUAGCGUAGUUCGGAAUUACUGGGCUUAAAGAGCACGUAGGUGGUUAAAAAAGUUGGUGGUGAAAUCCCAAGGCUUAACCUUGGAACUACCACCAAAACUUUUUAACUAGAGUAUGAUUGAGGUAAGCGGAAUUUCUAGUGUAGAGGUGAAAUUCGUAGAUAUUAGAAGGAACACCAAUUGCGAAGGCAGCUUUCUGGAUCAUUACUGACACUGAGGUGCGAAAGCAUGGGUAGCGAAGAGGAUUAGAUACCCUCGUAGUCCAUGCCGUGAGCGAUGUGUGCUA